AGAGUUUGAUCCUGGCUCAGGACGAACGCUGGCGGCGUGCUUAACACAUGCAAGUCGAGCGGAAAGGCCCUUCGGGGUACUCGAGCGGCGAACGGGUGAGUAACACGUGAGUAACCUGCCCUUGGCUUUGGGAUAACCCUCGGAAACGGGGGGCUAAUACCGGAUAUUCACUUCCUGUGGCAUCAUGGGUUGUGGAAAGUUUUUCGGCCUGGGAUGGGCUCGCGGCCUAUCAGCUUGUUGGUGGGGUGAUGGCCUACCAAGGCGACGACGGGUAGCCGGCCUGAGAGGGCGACCGGCCACACUGGGACUGAGACACGGCCCAGACUCCUACGGGAGGCAGCAGUGGGGAAUAUUGCACAAUGGGCGGAAGCCUGAUGCAGCGACGCCGCGUGAGGGAUGAAGGCCUUCGGGUUGUAAACCUCUUUCGACAGGGACGAAGCGCAAGUGACGGUACCUGGAGAAGAAGCGCCGGCCAACUACGUGCCAGCAGCCGCGGUAAGACGUAGGGCGCGAGCGUUGUCCGGAUUUAUUGGGCGUAAAGAGCUCGUAGGCGGCUUGUUGCGUCGGCUGUGAAAACCCGCAGCUCAACUGUGGGCUUGCAGCCGAUACGGGCAGGCUUGAGUUCGGUAGGGGAGACUGGAAUUCCUGGUGUAGCGGUGAAAUGCGCAGAUAUCAGGAGGAACACCGGUGGCGAAGGCGGGUCUCUGGGCCGAUACUGACGCUGAGGAGCGAAAGCGUGGGGAGCGAACAGGAUUAGAUACCCUAGUAGUCC
RNAcentral lists this ribosomal RNA (772 nucleotides) under uncultured bacterium. RNAcentral describes it as "bacterial SSU rRNA". It matches the Rfam family "Bacterial small subunit ribosomal RNA", at positions 8 to 796 of the family's 1533-position model. The record is from RNAcentral.